GCGAUAAGUAAUGUGAAUUGCAGAAUUCAGUGAAUCAUCGAAUCUUUGAACGCACCUUGCGCUCCUUGGUAUUCCUUGGAGCAUGCCUGUUUGAGUAUCAUGAAAUUCUCAAAACAAAUCUUUUGUUCAUUCGAUUGGUUUUGUUUUGGACUUGGAGGUUUUUGCGGAUUCACGUCUGCUCCUCUUAAAAAUAUUAGCUGGAUCUCAGUAAACUUGGUUCCACUCGGCGUGAUAAGUAUCACUCGCUGAGGACACCCCGUAAAAAAAAGGUGGCCAGGAUUGCGGAUGAACCGCUUCUAAUAGUCUAUUAAAUUAGACAAUAUACUUUAUGAUCUGAUCUCAAAUCAGGUAGGACUACCCGCUGAACUUAAGCAUAUCAAUAAGCGGAGGAAAAGAAACU
RNAcentral lists this ribosomal RNA (400 nucleotides) under uncultured fungus. RNAcentral describes it as "eukaryotic LSU rRNA". The stretch from base 1 to 100 matches the Rfam family "5.8S ribosomal RNA", at positions 55 to 154 of the family's 154-position model. Lineage: Eukaryota; Fungi. The record is from RNAcentral.